GUAUGUGAGGGUGAUCUGGCUGCAACAUCUGUCAUUACACUGAUCGCCAGGGUUGGUUCAGCUGAUCUGGCUGGCUAGGCGGGUGUCCCCUUCCUCCCUUACUGUUCCAUGUGCAUCCCUCCAGAAGCUGCACACUUGGUUGAAGAGGACAGCCUUCCCCAAAUAGAGAAGGACCGGGCUUCUGUCGAGGGUGAGGGUGUAGGAGUAGCUGCGCUCCCCUGCUAGAGCCUCCAAACAAGCUCUCAAAAGCGCUCAUUCUGUGUGCUCUCAUUCACAUGUGGAAUCUGUCAAACUUGGCCAGAGUUGAAUUAU
Molecule: unclassified non-coding RNA, 312 nt
Organism: Erinaceus europaeus (western European hedgehog)
Lineage: Eukaryota; Metazoa; Chordata; Mammalia; Eulipotyphla; Erinaceidae
Gene: 7SK
Rfam family: 7SK RNA
About the family: 7SK was discovered as an abundant small nuclear RNA in the mid-70s but a possible function has only recently been suggested. Two independent studies have found that 7SK RNA binds the CDK9/cyclin T complex (known as elongation factor P-TEFb). P-TEFb activates transcription by phosphorylating the C-terminal domain of RNA polymerase II.
Source: Ensembl